AUGAUUGAGCCUCAUGGCUCUGCUUCUGGCAGACGUGGACGUAAGACUCCUCGAGAGUCAGAUACUCUCGAGGAGCGAGAAAGAAAGAGGCUGCGAGAUAUCUUUGCAGAACCAUCUGACGAAGAGUCUUUUAAGGGGUUCACGGAGAGAAUGGAGGAAGAGCUGGUUAGCUCGGAAGAGGAUGAGAUGGAUUGGACUCGGCUUUGACCUUCCGUCGUCUUCUUGACGGACGCCAUCUGCUACUCUGGAUUUACGGACUGAAAACUGACUACGGGCUCGCUUUCUCCUAUUGAACUUGGAAAACUGCAAACGUCUGAUUCUGCCUCUCGACCUACGGAACGAACUGGGACUACGCUACUGCUUCAAUCCUUGGCUGCUGAGUUUGUAUUGGAAAUUUGCCUUGCUGUGUGAAGGAGUGACUCCUAGUUACUCAAAACAUAGUGCUGGCAGCAGAGAGGCAUCUGCUACCAAUUAGUUGCAUUCUUUUGAACUCUUUGUUUCCCAGCUUCUGUUUGUUUUUCCCCAGGCUGAAGCAAGCUGUUUUGAUUUUACCCGGAUUAAACUCCGGUUUAAUCCGGUUUAUCUUUUGAACGUUUUUCUUGCCCCUUUUUGUUUUUAAAGGCUAAAGUUGCCUUGCCCUUGUCUUUUACGGGCAUUUUGAGUUCUGUAAAUCCAAUAAACUCUGUUAUCUUUGA
This is a long non-coding RNA of Anolis carolinensis (green anole), 695 nucleotides long. RefSeq lists it as uncharacterized. The record is from RefSeq and is a predicted model, not a curated record. NCBI's taxonomy places the organism in Eukaryota, Metazoa, Chordata, Lepidosauria, Squamata, Anolidae. The transcript has 2 exons.